UACGUAGGGUGCGAGCGUUGUCCGGAAUUAUUGGGCGUAAAGAGCUUGUAGGCGGUUUGUCGCGUCUGCUGUGAAAAUCCGGGGCUCAACCCCGGACUUGCAGUGGGUACGGGCAGACUGGAGUGUGGUAGGGGAGACUGGAAUUCCCGGUGUAGCGGUGAAAUGCGUAGAUAUCGAGAGGAACACCUGCGGCGAAGGCGGGUAGCUGGGCCGACACUGACGCUGAGGCGCGAAAGCCAGGGGAGCGAACGGG
Molecule: ribosomal RNA, 253 nt
Filed under: uncultured bacterium
Lineage: Bacteria
Description: partial 16S ribosomal RNA
Rfam family: Bacterial small subunit ribosomal RNA
Source: RNAcentral